This 478-nucleotide ribosomal RNA is filed under the name uncultured bacterium. RNAcentral describes it as "partial 16S ribosomal RNA". It matches the Rfam family "Bacterial small subunit ribosomal RNA", at positions 28 to 507 of the family's 1533-position model. The record is from RNAcentral.
GAUGAACGCUGGCGGCGUGCUUAACACAUGCAAGUCGAACGAGAAGUGAAGACGGAAACCUUCGGGCGGAAGGCUUUAUUUCGAGUGGCGGACGGGUGAGUAACGCGUGGGUACCCUGCCUCAUACAGGGGGAUAACAGUUGGAAACGACUGUUAAUACCGCAUAAGACCACAGCACCGCAUGGUGCGGGGGUAAAAACUCCGGUGGUAUGAGAUGGACCCGCGUUCGAUUAGCCAGUUGGCGGGGUAACGGCCCACCAAAGCGACGAUCGAUAGCCGAUCUGAGAGGAUGACCGGCCACAUUGGGACUGAGACACGGCCCAAACUCCUACGGGAAGCAGCAGUGGGGAAUAUUGCACAAUGGGGGAAACCCUGAUGCAGCGACGCCGCGUGAGUGAAGAAGUAUUUCGGUAUGUAAAGCUCUAUCAGCAGGGAAGAAAAUGACGGUACCUGAGGAAGAAGCCCCGGCUAACUACGUG